RNAcentral lists this ribosomal RNA (378 nucleotides) under Salmonella enterica subsp. salamae. RNAcentral describes it as "bacterial SSU rRNA". It matches the Rfam family "Bacterial small subunit ribosomal RNA", at positions 20 to 394 of the family's 1533-position model. The record is from RNAcentral. Lineage: Bacteria; Pseudomonadati; Pseudomonadota; Gammaproteobacteria; Enterobacterales; Enterobacteriaceae.
UGGCUCAGAUUGAACGCUGGCGGCAGGCCUAACACAUGCAAGUCGAACGGUAACAGGAAGCAGCUUGCUGCUUCGCUGACGAGUGGCGGACGGGUGAGUAAUGUCUGGGAAACUGCCUGAUGGAGGGGGAUAACUACUGGAAACGGUGGCUAAUACCGCAUAACGUCGCAAGACCAAAGAGGGGGACCUUCGGGCCUCUUGCCAUCAGAUGUGCCCAGAUGGGAUUAGCUUGUUGGUGAGGUAACGGCUCACCAAGGCGACGAUCCCUAGCUGGUCUGAGAGGAUGACCAGCCACACUGGAACUGAGACACGGUCCAGACUCCUACGGGAGGCAGCAGUGGGGAAUAUUGCACAAUGGGCGCAAGCCUGAUGCAGCCA